Molecule: ribosomal RNA, 274 nt
Filed under: uncultured bacterium
Lineage: Bacteria
Description: partial 16S ribosomal RNA
Rfam family: Bacterial small subunit ribosomal RNA
Source: RNAcentral
AUACGGAGGGUGCAAGCGUUAUUCGGAAUCACUGGGCGUAAAGGACGCGUAGGCGGGAAGCCAAGUCUGAUGUGAAAUCCUAUGGCUUAACCAUAGAACUGCAUUGGAAACUGGUUACCUAGAGUAUGGGAGGGGGAGAUGGAAUUAGUGGUGUAGGGGUAAAAUCCGUAGAUAUCACUAGGAAUACCGAAAGCGAAGGCGAUCUCCUGGAACAAUCCUGACGCUAAGGCGUGAAAGCGUGGGGAGCAAACGGGAUUAGAUACCCUAGUAGUCC